UGGACGGGGUUCGCGUUUUGUGCCUUGC
Molecule: small RNA, 28 nt
Filed under: Bombyx mori (domestic silkworm)
Lineage: Eukaryota; Metazoa; Arthropoda; Insecta; Lepidoptera; Bombycidae
Description: ovarian small RNA-34564
Source: RNAcentral